RNAcentral lists this ribosomal RNA (253 nucleotides) under uncultured bacterium. Its description in RNAcentral is "partial 16S ribosomal RNA". It matches the Rfam family "Bacterial small subunit ribosomal RNA", at positions 524 to 776 of the family's 1533-position model. The record is from RNAcentral.
UACGUAGGGUGCGAGCGUUAAUCGGAAUUACUGGGCGUAAAGUGUGCGCAGGUGGCUGAGCAAGUCGAGUGUGAAAGCCCCGGGCUUAACUUGGGAAUUGCGCUCGAAACUACGAUGCUGGAGUGUGGCAGAGGAAGGUGGAAUUCCACGUGUAGCGGUGAAAUGCGUAGAGAUGUGGAGGAACACCAAUGGCGAAGGCAGCCUUCUGGGCCAACACUGACGCUCAUGCACGAAAGCGUGGGGAGCAAACAGG